UGGGCGGCAAAGAGAAACUGAAACUUGAAGCGGGCGGCUUGGUGGGAAGACGGGAGGCCCCGGGGUGCAGAGGGCCGGCUGAGCACCUCCCAACCCCGCCCCGAGGGUCCCCAGGCACAGGAGGACAUUCAGCAGAGGGGCGCCGGAGGCCGGGAGGAGUCAGCGCAGGGGCUGCAGGAAAGCACGCUGACAGCUCGGCGUGCACCCGGAGCACCUGUCCUCUCCCCCCCAGGACGGCCUCCUGGACCCGGGUGACAGUCAGCCCAAAGCUGCCAUGUGCUUCUCUGUCUCCCAGGACACGGGAAGGUGGAGACAGACGUAGCGGACAGUCCCGCCCUGAACGCAAGGAGAUCACAUUGUCCACUCGGUGUCUCAGACGCAGAAGUAAAUCAGAACAUCCCAAAAGCAGAGACUACCCGCUCAUCACUAACCCGGCUUCAGGAACGUGCAGACUUUACCUGUCUCCCCACUGAACCUCGGUUCUACCUGGAAGGACUCUUCUGCGCCCUCGUGGGCUGACAGCCCAGAGACGCCUCCUCCUCUGCCUGGAAAAUGCACCCAAGACGGACAAUACAUCAGGUUCCACGGAGCAGACAGACUCCCCUCCUUCUGCCCUCAGUCCGUGGAGCCCAGGUGACUUCGGUGUUACACCUGCUUCCAAGCCCAGCAGCCAAGAAGUCCCAGGUCAUCUCCAGCACCUUGAAGAUCUGCCUUGGAGUGUCCUGGGGCGGCUGUGACGAAGUGCCCCAAACUGGGGGCUUAGAACCACAGGCAUCCAUCCUUCCCCAGAGCUGGAGACCAGACUUCUGAGGUCAAGAAGUAUAGUGAAUUCCAAUGUGUCCUGUGUCUUUAACCAGGACACCCCAGGGACCUCCUUGGGCUGGCUCACUGAGUGAUCCCAAAGCAGCCCAGAAGCCGGGUCACUGCAUCCGCGAAGAGAGAGUGCCCAUUAGCAUCAUGCAGCCAGGUCCUGUUUCAGUGUGGUGGCCACAUUCUCCAAAUUCGUUGUCAGCAGACAGACCACGGAAGAACGUCUUCCUGGAAUUUCUGCUUCAAGAUGGUCCACAGCUGAGUGAAGUAAGACAGACAGAGACACAUAUAGGGUAUCACUUGUACGUGGAAUCUAAAACAAAUUUUUUUUCAAAUGAUGCAAGUUCUAUUUACAAACCAAAAAUGAACUCAGAGACAUAAUGAACUAACUAUGGUUAUUAAAGGGGAAAGGAGGCGGGACGGAUAAGUCAGGAGUCUGGGAUGGGCAGAUACACAUGACUGUAUAUAAAAUAGAUAAACAGGAAGGUCCUACUGUAAGCACAGGGAACUAUAUCUUGUAACAACCUAAAUGGAAAAAAUAUGAAAAGACAAUAUUUAUAUAUGUCUAUGCGAAAAAAAAAAAUAUGUUCCUUCUUCUGCCUGAGGGUCCAGGUAUGUCAAAUUCCAGAGAUUCCGCACCCAUGGGACCACACGGGUGUGGCCUCACCCGUGCGUCGGACAGUCAGGUGUUUUGCUAUUAAAGACUCCCUCCCUCAGGCUGCAGCCUGGAAGUGGAGGUCGCGGAAUCCGUCUGCACCCCUUGUGGUUUUCAGUCUGCCCCCCUCACCUCAUUCCAAGAUCGCACCUUGACAGGGAUGCUGGGCCCGGCAGAGCCGGACACAGGCUUGUCGUCGAAGCCAUGCUCACGUCCCAGAUGCACCAUGAGGCCAAACAAACGGAAACGCUGGAGUUUGCAGCCGAGAAAGGUUUAUGGCAGGACCCCGCCAGGGGAAGGGGUGGCCCCAAACUCCCCAUGGUUUGAGGGGAGACAUUUCUAAUAGGCAAAAUGUGGGGUGGGGGCUGCAGGGGUGUGACUUGUCUUCUGAUGGGCCGGUGGGGAGGCACCAGGACGGGGCUCCAGGAAUCCUGGGCUCAGCCUGAAGGCGCCAUCCUCCACCUGGGCGGGGGCCUCAGUUCCUUCAGGAGAACUCGGACGCAUUGUUCUGGAUGUGCCUCCCCAAGGCUGCACUCUUGUUUCUUGAAGGUUGUUCCCUCGUUCUCUGCAUCCCCGCCCUUCCCUGAUUAGCUACUGUUUUGACUCUGUCCUUUGGAGCUCAGGGAAGGCCCAGGAGGCUGAAGGAAGUCUGUCCCACUAACAAGAAACGGGAAGUGGGGGGAAGGGACAGUCCUGCUUGGUUUUACCCUGAAGGGCAGAGUCAGGGGAGUUGACUCAGGUGACAGGUCUGAACGCCUGGGAGGAGGUGGGGUGGAGGGACGGGCCAGGACCCAGGGCAGCCUGAGAUCACGGGGUCCCCAGGGAGGAAGAGGGUCUUGUAGACACCCACACACAACGGCUUCUUCAAGAACCACAGCGGGGCUGAGACAGGAGGGAAGGGGCGGGGCAGAGCCUUGAAAGGAGUGACACAGGAAUCAGCACCAAGCUGGCACAGAAGUCAACUCCCAGCGGACCCGGAGGCGCAGGGUGGCGGGCGCUUCGCCCUCGUGUAGACCUUGAGCGAGGCUACGCUCCUUGUAACGCAUCAGCAGGGCCAGUGGCGCUCCCACGGGCGCCGUGCCUGUCCCAGGCUGACCCUGAGAGGUCGGAGAGUGGGCGGUGGUCCAGUCCCUGGGGAUCCCCGCCCCUUCCCCAAAGCAGCUGGAACAAUCCGCCUACUUGUCAGCAUGUGAGAUAACAGGGCCCAUAAAAACCAACAGCCCACAGCUCGUGGCCUUUCUCUUGCCUUGUGAGACGGCCGCACUCUGUCUGCGGAGCGUGUUUCUGCUUUUCCUUUAAAGUGAGCGCCCAGCCCAGCACCUCGCGGCCUCUCCGGCCACCUGAGACGGCCGCACUCAGUCUAGGGCGCGUGCAUCUCUCUGAAUAAAUCCGCUUUUACUCAAGUGUGGCUCGCUCUUGAAUUCUUUCCUGCACGGAGCGAAGGACCCACACUUGGCGGGGCGCAUCCCAGGGACCUACCUGGCACCUGGGACACGGCCAUCCUCUCCUGCCCCAGAUGUUUCCUGCAUCAGUGGGGCCUUCAACUAGGAGUCUCGCUCUGCUGUGUAAAUUUUCUGAGGAUGAAAGUCUGUCCCACUUCUGACUUCCAAGAAAGCCAGCUCCUGGAGACGUUGCAGGGGGAAGGGACCCUCCUACACUGUGCAUGCGAAGGCAGACUGCUGCAGCCGCUACGGAGAACAGCCUGGUGAUUCCUCAAAAAACUAAAAAUAGGACCAGGAGGAGACGGCGUGGAGUCCCGGCGGGUCAGGCAAAAAAGCUAAAGAGAACCGAAAAAGUUCCCAAGCCUCCUGCCAAGCCGAGCAAAGUAGCGGAGGACACGGAGGAGGAAGAAAGAGAGACCACGUCCCAGGCCCGAUCUGCAAGGGCCAGUGGGAAAAUAAGGAACAAAUUCUCAUCUUUUCUUCCAGAGAAGUGAAUUUCAGAACAAGACAUUUAAAGCAAGAUUUGAGAAUGUUGAUAUCUCCUUCUUUUUUUUUUUCCCCUUUUUCAGUUUUAUUGGGUAGAAUUGUUACUGUUCAACUGCACACACACAUUACACUGCAUGUAAAUACAUGUGCACGAUGUACUGCACAUGUUUUUUUACUUUACAUAUGUGUGCUGUGCAUUGUCUCUGAGAACAAUUUAGAGCUUCAGCUUUUUAAACUUACAUAGUUGUCAAAGGAAUCAAGCCAGCCCCAAAAUAAGAAUCAAAAGAAUGCAGUCAUCCAGUCAUAAAUCGGCUGACAUAUAUUCAAGAAAUCAGUCAUCAGAGUUAUAAAUAAUGACUAAUUCAGUUGUGUCCUUAUUUAUUUUAUUUAUUUACUUAUUUUAGAUUCCACAUAUAAGAGAUCUCAUAUGAUCUUUUUCUUUCUCUUUCUGACUUAUUUCACUUACAAUGAUCAUCUCCAGGUCCAUCCAUGUUGCUGCAA
This is a long non-coding RNA of Camelus dromedarius (Arabian camel), 3894 nucleotides long. RefSeq lists it as uncharacterized. Lineage: Eukaryota; Metazoa; Chordata; Mammalia; Artiodactyla; Camelidae. The record is from RefSeq and is a predicted model, not a curated record. The transcript has 4 exons.